Molecule: transfer RNA, 73 nt
Filed under: Camelus ferus (Wild Bactrian camel)
Lineage: Eukaryota; Metazoa; Chordata; Mammalia; Artiodactyla; Camelidae
Rfam family: tRNA
About the family: Transfer RNA (tRNA) molecules are approximately 80 nucleotides in length. Their secondary structure includes four short double-helical elements and three loops (D, anti-codon, and T loops). Further hydrogen bonds mediate the characteristic L-shaped molecular structure. tRNAs have two regions of fundamental functional importance: the anti-codon, which is responsible for specific mRNA codon recognition, and the 3' end, to which the tRNAs corresponding amino acid is attached (by aminoacyl-tRNA synthetases). tRNAs cope with the degeneracy of the genetic code in two manners: having more than one tRNA (with a specific anti-codon) for a particular amino acid; and 'wobble' base-pairing, i.e. permitting non-standard base-pairing at the 3rd anti-codon position.
Source: Rfam by way of RNAcentral
GAGGGUAUAGCUCAAAUGGUAGAGCACAUGCUUAGCAUGCAUGAGGUCCUGGGUUUAAUCCUCAGUACCACCA